RNAcentral lists this microRNA precursor (90 nucleotides) under Ovis aries (sheep). Its description in RNAcentral is "miRNA (ENSOARG00000022025.1)". Lineage: Eukaryota; Metazoa; Chordata; Mammalia; Artiodactyla; Bovidae. The record is from RNAcentral.
UAGUAUUGCGUUGGCCAGAAAGUUCAUUCAAGUUUUUCUGUAACCUCUUAUGGAAAAACCUGAAUGAGAUUUUUGGCCAACCCAAUAUAU